UUGAGAUUUUUCUUUUUUGAGGAAGGCCUGUAUCACUAUGAAUUUCACACUAAGAACUGCUUUUGCUACACCCAGUAGAUUUUGAAUGUUUAUGUCCUCAUUGUCAUUUGUCACAAAGUAUUUUUUAAUUUCCUCUUUGAUUUCUUCAGUGAUCCAUUGGUUGUUUAGUAGCAUGUUGUUUAGUCUCCCCGUGUUUGUGUUUUUUGCAGUUUUUUUCUUGUUGUGGAUUUCCAGUCAUAUAGCAUUGUGGUCAGAAAAGAUGCUUGAUAUGAUUUCAAUUUUCUUAGUUACCGAGGUUGAACUUGUAGCCCAGGAUGUGAUCCAUCUCAGAGAAUGUUCCAUGUGCAAAAGGUCUAACUUUUCUAUUGUUUCCUUUAGGAUCUCUGUUGCUUUAUUGGUUUUCUGUCUAGAGGAUCUGUCCAUUGAUGUGAGGGGGGUAUUAAGGUCUCCUACUAUGAUUGUAUUCUCAUCAAUAUCUCCCUUUAUGUCUGUUAAUAUUUGUUGUAUGUAUCUGGGUGCUCCUAUAUUUGGGGCAUAUAUGUUGAUGAUAGUAACAUCCUCUCCUUGGAUGGAUCCCUUAAUCAUUAAAUAGUGUCCUUCUUUGUCUUUCUUUAUGUCUUUUGUUUUAAAGUCUAUUUUGUCUGAUAUGAGCGUUGCGACUCCUGCUUUUCUGUCAUGUCUAUUGGCGUGAAAUAUUUUUCCCCACCCUUUCACUUUCAAUCUAUAUGU
This 729-nucleotide long non-coding RNA is filed under the name Sus scrofa (pig). RNAcentral's name for it is "lncRNA (ENSSSCG00050020434.1)". The record is from RNAcentral. Lineage: Eukaryota; Metazoa; Chordata; Mammalia; Artiodactyla; Suidae.